RNAcentral lists this ribosomal RNA (444 nucleotides) under uncultured Pseudomonadota bacterium. RNAcentral describes it as "bacterial SSU rRNA". It matches the Rfam family "Bacterial small subunit ribosomal RNA", at positions 917 to 1359 of the family's 1533-position model. Lineage: Bacteria; Pseudomonadati; Pseudomonadota. The record is from RNAcentral.
GGACCCGCACAAGCGGUGGAUGAUGUGGAUUAAUUCGAUGCAACGCGAAAAACCUUACCUACCCUUGACAUGCCAGGAACCGGCAAGAGAUUGCCGGGUGCCUUCGGGAGCCUGGACACAGGUGCUGCAUGGCUGUCGUCAGCUCGUGUCGUGAGAUGUUGGGUUAAGUCCCGCAACGAGCGCAACCCUUGUCACCAGUUGCCAUCAUUUAGUUGGGCACUCUGGUGAGACUGCCGGUGACAAACCGGAGGAAGGUGGGGAUGACGUCAAGUCCUCAUGGCCCUUAUGGGUAGGGCUUCACACGUCAUACAAUGGUCGGUACAGAGGGACGCGAAGCCGCGAGGUGGAGGCCAAUCCCCAUAAAAGCCGAUCGUAGUCCGGAUCGCAGUCUGCAACUCGACUGCGUGAAGUCGGAAUCGCUAGUAAUCGCGGAUCAGCAUGCCG